UCUGUAGGUGGUUUAUGAAGUUCCCUGUCAAAUAUCAGGGCUCAACCUUGAGAAGGCAGUGAAGUACUCAUACACUAGAGUGCGGUAGGGGUAGAGGGAACUCCGCGUGGAGCGGUGAAAUGCGUAGAGAUGCGGAGGAACACCAGUGGCGAAGGCGCUCUACUGGGCCGUCACUGACACUGAGAGACGAAAGCUAAGGGAGUGAAAA
Molecule: ribosomal RNA, 208 nt
Filed under: uncultured bacterium
Lineage: Bacteria
Description: partial 16S ribosomal RNA
Rfam family: Bacterial small subunit ribosomal RNA
Source: RNAcentral